This 291-nucleotide ribosomal RNA is filed under the name uncultured bacterium. RNAcentral describes it as "partial 16S ribosomal RNA". It matches the Rfam family "Bacterial small subunit ribosomal RNA", at positions 505 to 796 of the family's 1533-position model. The record is from RNAcentral.
GUGUCAGCCGCCGCGGUAAUACGUAGGUGGCAAGCGUUGUCCGGAAUUAUUGGGCGUAAAGGGAGCGCAGGUGGGAAUGUAAGUCAAUCUUAAAAGUGCGGGGCUCAACCCCGUGAUGGGAUAGAAACUACAUUUCUUGAGUGCAGGAGAGGAAAGUGGAAUUCCUAGUGUAGCGGUGAAAUGCGUAGAUAUUAGGAGGAACACCAGUGGCGAAGGCGACUUUCUGGACUGUUACUGACACUGAGGCUCGAAAGCUAGGGGAGCGAACGGGAUUAGAUACCCCCGUAGUCC